CCUACGGGAGGCAGCAGUGGGGAAUAUUGCACAAUGGGGGAAACCCUGAUGCAGCGACGCCGCGUGAGUGAAGAAGUAUUUCGGUAUGUAAAGCUCUAUCAGCAGGGAAGAAAAAAGACGGUACCUGACUAAGAAGCCCCGGCUAACUACGUGCCAGCAGCCGCGGUAAUACGUAGGGGGCAAGCGUUAUCCGGCUUUACUGCGUGUAAAGGGCGCGUAGACGGCGCGGCAAGUCUGCAGGGAAAGGCAGGGGCUUAACCCCUGAACUGCUUUGGAAACUGCCCUGCUGGAGUGCUGGAGAGGUAAGUGGAAUGCCUGGUGUAGCGGGGAAAUGCGUAGAUAUUAGGAGGAACACCAGUGGCGAAGGCGGCUGACUGGACAGUAACUGACGUUGAGGCUCGAAGGCGUGGGGAGCAAACAGGAUUAGAUACCCUUGUAGUC
RNAcentral lists this ribosomal RNA (441 nucleotides) under uncultured bacterium. RNAcentral's name for it is "partial 16S ribosomal RNA". It matches the Rfam family "Bacterial small subunit ribosomal RNA", at positions 338 to 795 of the family's 1533-position model. The record is from RNAcentral.